CCUACGGGAGGCAGCAGUAAGGAAUAUUGGGCAAUGGACGCAAGUCUGACCCAGCCAUGCCGCGUGGAGGAUGAAGGCCUCUGGAUUGUAAACUUCUUUUAUCUGGGAAGCGGUACCAGGUGAAUAAGCACCGGCUAACUCCGUGCCAGCAGCCGCGGUAAUACGGAGGGUGCAAGCGUUAUCCGGAUUCACUGGGUUUAAAGGGUGCGUAGGUGGGUUGGUAAGUCAGUGGUGAAAUCUCCGAGCUUAACUUGGAAACUGCCAUUGAUACUAUCAGUCUUGAAUACCGUGGAGAUGAGCGGAAUAUGUCAUGUAGCGGUGAAAUGCUUAGAUAUGACAUAGAACACCAAUUGCGAAGGCAGCUCGUUACACGAAAUUGACACUCAGGCACGAAAGCGUGGGGAUCAAACAGGAUUAGAUACCCUUGUAGUC
This 432-nucleotide ribosomal RNA is filed under the name uncultured bacterium. RNAcentral describes it as "partial 16S ribosomal RNA". It matches the Rfam family "Bacterial small subunit ribosomal RNA", at positions 338 to 795 of the family's 1533-position model. The record is from RNAcentral.